RNAcentral lists this ribosomal RNA (253 nucleotides) under uncultured bacterium. Its description in RNAcentral is "partial 16S ribosomal RNA". It matches the Rfam family "Bacterial small subunit ribosomal RNA", at positions 524 to 776 of the family's 1533-position model. The record is from RNAcentral.
UACGUAGGCAGCGAGCGUUGUUCGGAGUUACUGGGCGUAAAGGGUGUGUAGGCGGUUCUUUAAGUUUGGGGUGAAAUCUCCCGGCUCAACCGGGAGGGUGCGCCGAAUACUGAGGAACUAGAGUACGGGAGAGGAAAGUGGAAUUCCUGGUGUAGCGGUGAAAUGCGUAGAUAUCAGGAGGAACACCGGUGGUGUAGACGGCUUUCUGGACCGUAACUGACGCUGAGACACGAAAGCGUGGGUAGCAAACAGG